Molecule: unclassified non-coding RNA, 18 nt
Filed under: Chlamydomonas reinhardtii
Lineage: Eukaryota; Viridiplantae; Chlorophyta; Chlorophyceae; Chlamydomonadales; Chlamydomonadaceae
Description: small RNA Cre_1890
Source: RNAcentral
GGGAGUGGGGAGGGCAGG